GGAGUUAGCCGGUGCUUCUUCUGUGAGUGAUGUCCUUCCUGCCGGUUAUUGACCCGCAGGCCUUCUUCCUCACUGAAAGUGCUUUACAACCCGAAGGCCUUCUUCACACACGCGGCAUGGCUGGAUCAGGGUUGCCCCCAUUGUCCAAUAUUCCCCACUGCUGCCUCCCGUAGGAGUCUGGGCCGUGUCUCAGUCCCAGUGUGGCUGAUCAUCCUCUCAGACCAGCUACGGAUCGUCGCCUUGGUGAGCCGUUACCUCACCAACCAGCUAAUCCGACAUAGGCUCAUCCGAUAGCGCGAGGCCCGAAGGUCCCCCGCUUUCCCCCGUAGGGCGUAUGCGGUAUUAGCCUGGGUUUCCCCAGGUUAUCCCCCACUACCGGGCAGAUUCCUAUGCAUUACUCACCCGUCCGCCGCUCGCCACCAGGGAGCAAGCUCCCCGUGCUGCCGCUCGACUUGCAUGUGUUAGGCCUGCCGCCACGCGUCAUCUGAACAAGANACAACUACUGA
RNAcentral lists this ribosomal RNA (506 nucleotides) under uncultured bacterium. RNAcentral's name for it is "partial 16S ribosomal RNA". The record is from RNAcentral.